GAUGAACGCUGGCGGCGUGCCUAAUACAUGCAAGUCGAGCGAACAGACGAGGAGCUUGCUCCUCUGACGUUAGCGGCGGACGGGUGAGUAACACGUGGAUAACCUACCUAUAAGACUGGGAUAACUUCGGGAAACCGGAGCUAAUACCGGAUAAUAUAUUGAACCGCAUGGUUCAAUAGUGAAAGACGGUUUUGCUGUCACUUAUAGAUGGAUCCGCGCCGCAUUAGCUAGUUGGUAAGGUAACGGCUUACCAAGGCGACGAUGCGUAGCCGACCUGAGAGGGUGAGCGGCCGCAGUGGAGCGGAGACACGGUCCAGGCGCCGACGGGAGGGAGCGGGAGGGGAUGGGCGGCAAUGGGGGGAAGGUGGGCGGAGGAGGGGCGGGUGGGGGAUGAAGGGCGUCGGAGCGGAGAACUGGGUUAUGAGGGAAGAACGAGGGGGGGAGUGACUAUGCACGUCUUGACGGUACCUAAUCAGAAAGCCACGGCUAACUACGUG
Molecule: ribosomal RNA, 497 nt
Filed under: uncultured bacterium
Lineage: Bacteria
Description: partial 16S ribosomal RNA
Rfam family: Bacterial small subunit ribosomal RNA
Source: RNAcentral